AUGGGCAAGCCAAAGCAGGAUAAGAAGUUGAGGAAAGAUUUUUCUAAGGAGGUAUGCAAGAUCAUGAAGAAGCAAGAGAAGGAAGAGAAUGUCAUAUCUAUUGAAGCUGCAAAAGCUCAUAAAGCCAUAGAAGGUGAAGGUUCAAGCAUAUCUAUUGCGGCCUCCAAGAUAGAGUCUACUAUUCAUCAGAAGCUAGUUUAG
Molecule: non-coding RNA, 201 nt
Organism: Vicia faba (fava bean)
Lineage: Eukaryota; Viridiplantae; Streptophyta; Magnoliopsida; Fabales; Fabaceae
Source: the annotation of a GenBank genome assembly